GUUUUUUUUUUUUUUUUAAUUUUUGGUGGUUUCCUUGGUGGGGCAGGAAUUCUAAACUCACAUAAAUCAGGUGGAGAGAAACACAAGAGGAACCUUUACACCCCUGGACCUGUCCUGAUCCUUCACCCGAACACACAAGUAUACCUGACGGCAUCUAACAGGCACCAUUUGACAAACAACAGGUUCCUUCAGGACUAUGAUAGGUGCAUUGCUGAUACCACCUACGAAGCAGGAGCUACGGUCCCCACCAUUGAGUUAAAUGCAGGAGCUAUGCUGAGUCAAGCAAAAAAAACAAAAAACCUUGAGCUCCCUUGAGCACCCAAGAAGAAAUGUCUUUACAAAUUGAUUUAUGUAUUACCAACCUCGCCAGUGGCCUCUGAACCAUCCAUUAAGAUACCACACGCUGCAGCCGCUAAGCCGACAGAACAGGAGGAGAAACCUUUCAGUGGUGGGGGGGACGGCUAGGAGAAGUGGUAGAGGAAGCUUAGCUCGUCAAUUCAAAUCCAGAUCUCUCAAUCUCUGGAUGACUAAAACUAUAAAAUUAGAUCUGUUUCCAAGUGGUGCAACAGAAACCCAUUCAACCUAUUGUCAGGAGAUCACUGGUGCCGCAUCCAUGGCUGGGAAUCCAAGACAGCAAAAUUGGCCGUGCUGUCUGUGUGGGCGGGAUGGCAUACUCUAUCCCCUGUCAAUCAGAGCAACACUAACCAAUCUUGGGUGUCUGUGUGGUUUACAGGGCAGUUAGCACUGUCCUCCAAGUGUGUACAGCCACCCUGUGACAUAACAUGAGCAACAGUUCAAAAAGAUGGAGGGAGGAAGGAGGAUUAGGAAGCACUUUACCCUUUACCCUAACUGGCCGGCAGCUGAUGUGGGAAUUGGCAAAUGACCAAAUUGGAAGAAAAUGGAGUAAAACAGAUUAAAAAAAAAAAAAAACUGAGAAUGGAACUGUAUUCAGUGAAAAGACGUAGCCAAUCUGAACUAGUUCAAGUUUUAUCACACUACAUCCAACAAAUCAAACUAGCUUCCUGUAUGAAAACACUGUCUGUGGCUCCUUCUGUUUGAGAAGCGGAGCGCAUGAAUACUGCGGAUAAGUUCAGAACUAGUUCUGCAUACAAAGAACCCUCAUAAUUGAGAGAGAGAGAGAGAGAGAGAGAGAGAGAGAGAGAGAGAGAGAGAGAGAGAGAGAGAGAGAGAAAGCAUAGUCUCAUGAAUGCAAAUUUGUAAUAACUCACACUAGUGUAAAAGUUGCAGAUUCGAGAUUAAAAUUUGAGUCAUUUCAGCGUCCCAUUUUUGUACACUUUUCUGGCCACAAGCUUCAGAAUCUUGAGAGUUGCAUUCUGAUUGGUUCUCCAUACUUCCAUGUGCUGGUUUCCAGCAUGAAAACACUGCAGCACUGCAAUAAGCUUUUCAAAGCAAGAUAUAAUGGCUGGACUGAAAACCGUUCCCGUCUUCAAAAGAAUUGUGAAGUUUGAAGCACAUUGUGAUGAUUACACAUGAUAAUCUAGUGUGUUUGCCAACAGGCUAUGGGACGAGAUCUGUGGUUGGUCAGCUGCCAUGUCAUGUUUCUGUGAAAGUAGAUGGUUCUUGGCCACAUUUAUUGACAGAGUUUACCAUACUCUCUAGCUAAAAGUCUGGCAUGUGAGAUUAAAGUAAGGGUGAGUGGAGGAACUUAGCAGUCAUAGCCUUUAUUAUGAACUUCAUUUGAUUAAGAGCAUACUCUGCUUAAUUGCCUCCUUAGUAAAGCUCUCAGUAUCUAAUAACUAAUAAACAGAAUGUCAACACUAUAAUACUGACUAUUGAGGACAGUUAAGGAAACCACAAUCUCCUUUAGCUAGAAAUUUGAACAAGACGACAUACAUACGUGGCAACAGUAGACCCCAGAAAAAAAAAUAGAAAUGGCUGGGUGCAAAGUGAACCCAGAAGUACCGGAUGAUCAAAUCAAACCUUUGCCCCGUAAGCCCUACUUGCUUUGCUGGGUUCUUCUGCCAAGGCAGAGGUCUUGGGUUGGGACUCCACACUGAUUCCACAUAUGAUGCUUAUUAAGGCCCAGUUGGAGCCCGUGGCUCUAAACCAAAUGGUGUGGGGAAUUCUGGGAACACAGGGCUGACUUAAGUGUUAAUAGAGGCCGUUCCAGCACCAUCAGCAGCAUUCCAAAGUGGGCGUAUCCAUCAGAAAGUGACAGAGCUGGAGGGUUCCUUGGAGCUGGAAUUAUAUGUUCUACCAAGACUUUUUGUAAGAAGCAGCAUACUCUGGCUUCUACAACAUCAUUAAGAAUUCUUUUGCCUUUUACUUCACUAUUUCAUUGCUGCUUAUAGGAAGAUCUUCUUUUUUUUAUGUUUCUUUUGCAAAAGUGUUUCUCCUUCAUGCAUUUUUGAGGAGUCCUUCCUGUCUGAACCUGGACUUUUGUAGCUGUGAUGUGAUACAGUUCACUGUAAAGAGCGCUGAAGGAAACAAAAAAUUGAUUUGAAUUGAGCUGAGCCAAAUUCUGUGUCAUGGUGUCAUGCCUCUGAAAUUUCCUUUCUGUCUGUGAGCUUGGCAUAUGGUUAAAUUGAACAAUGUCCUUUGAAUAUAUUGUUAAUAUACAGAUGGCUGAUGUCUUAACAAGGUGUUCAGACACAACAAGCCACUGUCCUUCCAAAAUGGUUGAUGUUUUGAUGAUGGUCAUGGAGAGCACUGGAUUACAGAUCAGUCCACAAUCUUCCACAUGUAUUCAGCUGGGUUGAGAUUUGGUAUGGGCAGAGUCAUCCUACAGGAGACCACACCCAUCAAGAGAGAAAUGGUUCACCAUAGGAUAAAGGUGUUGAUUUACAGUGGCACUUCCCUUUAAGAGGACAAGCGGACCCAAACCAUGCCAGCCAAAUACAUUAACAUUUAAAUAAAUUUCCUAUUAGUGAGUUGAAGAGUUAAGGAAUGAGACACUGCUUAAUAUUAUUGGCAUAGAAAAGAUGUUUAAUGUUGUCCGGUCCACAUUUUUAUUCUGUCCUAGCAAACACACCUGGGUCAGGUUAUCAAGGCGUGUUAGGAGGUGGAACAGAAUGAAAAUGUGAACUGGUAAUUUAUCUGACUGCAUUAGGAUCCCAUGUCCCAUGUAAGUAAGCAUACCCAGCUGAGGUAAGACAUGUUAUCUAUCUAUCUAUCUAUCUAUCUAUCUAUCUAUCUAUCUAUCUAUCUAUAUAUAUAUAUAAAAUUACACAUCUAAUAUAUCUUAAGGCUAGGACUGUGAUAUAUAAGACUCAGGUUUCAUUCAUUAAAUGCAAACUUUACUGCCAUUUUCCGACUUCCUGUUUUGUUUUGGGGUUUUUUCAGGUAUUUACAAUCCACAUGGCACCGCCUCUGCAAUCGCUUUUGUGUAAAGUUGCUGACUUAAUUUAUGGAGGGUAAACAGUGACAAAGUGGAGUUCCUGCAAGGUUCAGCUGGAAGAAAACGACAAGGGAUGACAGCAAUCUUCUGGCCUAAAUCUUCAUCUAAACCGCAGUGAUUGACCAGCGUCCCCAUGCCAACGAGCAUCGCAUUAUAGCUGUAAUCCAUUUUUGCAGAUGUAGAGUGGACAUCUGCAGCUGAUGCACUGCGAGACAGACAGAGAAAGCUCUUUAUCCUGAUAAGGUUAUCAUGAUAAGGAUCCAGAGUCUAUCCUGGGAAUGGGAAUCUGGAUGGGACGCCAGAUCAUCACACAUUCGCACACUCAGGAGCAAUCCACCUUGUUUUCUGGGAGUUGGAGAAAACCGGAGAACCCAGAGGAAAACCACAUGAACAAGGGAAGGAAGAACAUGUUAAAUAUUUGGUCAGUAACUUAAGCUAAGCAUCAAACCAGGGACACUGAAGCUGUGAGGCAACAACGCUACCUUCUGCUGCCCCUGGAAGUCUUAUAUCUCUCAAAAUCUUGUCCACUAAUACACACCCAUAUCUGUACUUAUAUAUUUAACUGCAACUAUAUUAUCAUCUGUAUCACUUCCAGCUUUACAAUGCAGUUCCACCUUUAAAUGUUUGAAGGUUGAGUUUAGUAGGUCCGAUAAUACUAAACUACACUAAGUAAAAAAGUGAUUUGAUUUGGUUGUCCAAGAUGACUGCCAUAAAAUACAAUUGCGGCAUUGAGCUACAGUACACGGUGAAGUCUUGCUCAUGUUUAUACUACUAAAAAACACUCUGUCCUAAACUAUACUGGUAAGUUUGCAUCACUGUCCUCAAAAAUGGGCAUGUGUAUGUAAAAGACUACAUUUGAGGUAAAUUGAAAAUGGUGUAAAUUUGAUCCCUAAUACACGGUGUUCUAUUAACCCUAUGUUUACACUAGCAAGCAACAAGUCGCUCAUGUCGCAUGUAGUUUGUCUCUUGUGGGCAUGUAGCAACCACUACUGGUGUUGCUUAUGUUUGGUUGUGUUUGUUGUUGUUGUUGCUGUUCCACUGAGGAAACAUAGACACCAAAAUCUAUAGCUUGAUUAAAAAACAUUUGUUUAAAAUGUAUUUAAGUUUGAUUUACAUGUUACAUGCUAGACUUCGUAUAUCGCAGAUAAGCUGUACUAGCUACACACACUCGCCAGAAGCCCCAACGAUCUUUCCUUCGUCCUUCCAAGCUUUAUUUUUCUUUGUAAUGUCUCUAUACACGUUUAACGAUAGGUUGACAGGUAUAUGACAGGAUAAGAAGAAACCACGGUAGUAAGUUUUUCUGAAACGUUUUCCAUACAUCAAAAUUGAAACAAGGAAUAAAGUUCUGAGCGGGGAAAUCAGGAAACAUGUGGCACAGGACUGGUCGCUUUUUGUUUGUUGCUUGCUAGCGUCAACAUAGGCUUAGUCAGCUAGCCGACGUCAAGUGAAUACUGUCACUGCUAUUUGCGGGGGUUUUUUACCGUAAUAAAAAAAAAAAAAAAUUCUGCUUAAUUAUCAUGUACAGACCGCCACAAAAACAUGUUCUAUGUCUAUACUAGUCCGUUAUACAGACUUUUACGUGUUAGGCUAUAUCGUGGUAUAAAAUUACUUUGCGGUAAAUCAAGAACAUAACUCCGCAGUACCCUCACCCUCCGUGACUGGAAUCUGACACUUCUGACCCAGACCUAUAAGAUCAAAGAGCAUUGCGUCUCGCCACUUUUCUCCACAAACAGGACGUAUAGGCUAUUGAACACACCAUGCACCGAGGCUAAGAGAUGCAAAGCAUCUGAGACAUGAACACACUGAGCUGAACCUUAGCUGUAAUAUAAAUAGUCCUAUUCUGUGGUUAAUUUUUUUUUUUUUUUUUUAGUACUGUAAUGACUCACACUGCAAGUCUCACAGGCGAGAAGAAACGAUAAUCUAGCAAAUGGAAGUCAAUCUGAUCUGAAUAAUUUAUAACUUUUUAACACAGAUGAGUGACACUGUAAUCUAUAUAUACCUGACAUAUGACACAUAUGAUGUGCAACCAUGUAUUGUUUUGGUUUUAUAUAUAUAUAUAU
Long non-coding RNA from Ictalurus punctatus (channel catfish), 5418 nucleotides. RefSeq lists it as uncharacterized. NCBI's taxonomy places the organism in Eukaryota, Metazoa, Chordata, Actinopteri, Siluriformes, Ictaluridae. The record is from RefSeq and is a predicted model, not a curated record. The transcript is spliced from 3 exons.